AGCACAUCCAAAAUGUAAUAUCUGCAAUGUGUCUUUUGACUAUUACUCUCCCCAUAUCAAGGAAUUUAACUGCC
Molecule: transfer RNA, 74 nt
Filed under: Candidatus Nitrosarchaeum limnium SFB1
Lineage: Archaea; Thermoproteati; Nitrososphaerota; Nitrososphaeria; Nitrosopumilales; Nitrosopumilaceae
Description: tRNA-Val
Source: RNAcentral